This 560-nucleotide unclassified non-coding RNA is filed under the name Melitaea cinxia (Glanville fritillary). Its description in RNAcentral is "misc RNA ENSMCXG00005006875.1". Lineage: Eukaryota; Metazoa; Arthropoda; Insecta; Lepidoptera; Nymphalidae. The record is from RNAcentral.
GUUCCACUUUAGGACCACAACGCCAUCGACCACGACCGCUGAAAUUGCCGUUUAACUUCCAUUAAUAUUAAAAACACCGCAGGCGUUAUUGUCGAAUUUUAUAAGUUUAACGCUUAUAUGGGCGCUAUCAGUAUCAGGCGUCAGCUGUGUGCUCGCAAUAUCUAGUUUAAGUGUAUUAUCUAUGCGCAAUAUGGCGGCAUGGUGAAAACAUGUAGCUGUGGGGAUCAAUCGAAUACGAGAUAACAUUCACAAUUUGAAAUUGAGAGUUGUUUUUGGAACGAAGCUCGUUACGGCAGGCUUGACAUUUGGCUGGGCGACCGAACUGAAAAAAAUGCGAUACUAAAACUGUAAGAAAAAUAUAUAACGGAAGUGACGUAAUAUCAGUCACACGACUGUAUAAUAUGACGUUUGUAAAACUAAAAUAUUACUAGUAAACUUUUUUUAAUUAUUUAUGUAAUUUUAUACUGUCGACAAAAAUAAAUAAAGACAUAUGUUUUUUUAUUUCACUUAAUAGUUUGAAUUAUUAUUAUUAUUAUCAUUUUGUUUGAUUUAUUUCAUUU